GGAAGAAGUUCCUGUAUAGGGGAAUGUGUAUCAUGUGAAGAUCAUUGAUGCAGAGAAUGAAACAAUCUCAACACAUUCGGAGUAUGAUAAAACAAUGGUACACGACACAGCAAGUAACAAUCCAUAGCUAUACCAUGGAGAAUGUAUUGUUAUACACAUAUAGGGGAUAUGUAUAAAACGAAACCGUCACUUUACAGUAUAAAAACCAUAAAACGUGUCUAGCUGCUUCGCAGGCAGUUCGUGUGGAGGUCAAACUUCAUCAGAAGGAGGAGGAAGAAGACCAUAGCAGGAACUGGAAGAGCUGAGAUCAGCAGUGGCAAGGGAGAUUUACCUCCACCAAUGGAAAUACUCAUUGCUGUCUUCAAAGGGCUUAUCUACAGAAAUUUAAGAGACACCUUUGUUUUUCUUCAUUUAAUUGCCGACACCGCAUAUAGUAUCCAGUCAGAAGGAGGGUCACAGGUUUGUGACACUGUGAUCUGACAGGUAUGCUUUAAAGAACAAGACAAAGGUUUAAAAAAAGGGACAUUUAAAGAACAAGACAAAGAACAAGACAAAGGGACACUUGGAUGGCAUGUCAUAAUGUGUAUGGAGGCCUCCUGAGUCUUCCCCAACAGAUGUUGUAUAGAGAAGAAUCUGGCAUGUUGGAUUUCAACUGCCCUACCCUUAUGUUUUGCGGCCACAAUAAAUAUUCAAAGAUAUAAGGGCACCAUAACUUGAUUUCUCAAUAAAGCUAAAAAUCUUCCCUCUCUCUACCUCAGAUUUACAGAUUUUUUUCUGCGAAUUUAAAGCAUGAGAUGGGAGAAAAG
Molecule: long non-coding RNA, 806 nt
Organism: Hyla sarda
Lineage: Eukaryota; Metazoa; Chordata; Amphibia; Anura; Hylidae
Exons: 5
Source: RefSeq, a predicted model, not a curated record